GCAAACUUGGUCAUUUAGAGGAAGUAAAAGUCGUAACAAGGUUUCCGUAGGUGAACCUGCGGAAGGAUCAUUAUCGAAUAAACUUGGGUAAGGUUGUUGCUGGCUCUUAGGAGCAAUGUGCACACCUACUCCAUUUUUUAAACCCCCUGUGCACCUUGUGUAGAUCUGGAUAACUCUCGGGGAAAACUCCGGUCUGAGAAUGGCUGUGCGAAAAAAGUCAGCUUUUCUUGCGUUUCAGGUCUAUGUUUCUACAUAUACUCCAAAAGAAUGUGUAAGAAUGUAUUUUUCAACAGGCCAUUCGUGCCUUUAAAAUCAAAUACAACUUUCAACAACGGAUCUCUUGGCUCUCGCAUCGAUGAAGAACGCAGC
RNAcentral lists this unclassified non-coding RNA (369 nucleotides) under uncultured fungus. RNAcentral's name for it is "partial contains small subunit ribosomal RNA, internal transcribed spacer 1, and 5.8S ribosomal RNA". The stretch from base 1 to 73 matches the Rfam family "Eukaryotic small subunit ribosomal RNA", at positions 1759 to 1831 of the family's 1831-position model. The record is from RNAcentral. Lineage: Eukaryota; Fungi.